RNAcentral lists this ribosomal RNA (554 nucleotides) under uncultured archaeon. RNAcentral describes it as "bacterial SSU rRNA". It matches the Rfam family "Archaeal small subunit ribosomal RNA", at positions 325 to 879 of the family's 1478-position model. The record is from RNAcentral.
ACGGGGUGCAGCAGGCGCGAAAACUUCACACUUGGGGGGAACCCCGAUGAGGAAAUCCUAGUGCUAGGACAUUUGUUCUAGCUUUUCUCAAGCGUAGAUAACUUGAGGAAUAAGGGCUGGGUAAGACGGGUGCCAGCCGCCGCGGUAAUACCUGCAGCCCAAGUGGUGGUCGAUUUUAUUGAGUCUAAAACGUUCGUAGCCGGUUUGGUAAAUCUUUGGGUAAAUCGGGAGGCUCAACUUUCCGACUUCCGAAGAGACUGCCAAACUUGGGAACCGGGAGAGGCUAGAGGUACUUCUGGGGUAGGGGUAAAAUCCUGUAAUCCUAGAAGGACCACCGGUGGCGAAGGCGUCUAGCUAGAACGGAUCCGACGGUGAGGGACGAAGCCCUGGGUCGCAAACGGGAUUAGAUACCCCGGUAGUCCAGGGUGUAAACGCUGCCGACUUGGUGUUGGAGGCCCUUCGGGGGCAUUCAGUGCCGGAGAGAAGUUGUUAAGUCGGCUACUUGGGGAGUACGUCCGCAAGGAUGAAACUUAAAGGAAUUGGCGGGGGAGCAC